RNAcentral lists this ribosomal RNA (164 nucleotides) under uncultured bacterium. RNAcentral's name for it is "partial 16S ribosomal RNA". It matches the Rfam family "Bacterial small subunit ribosomal RNA", at positions 1336 to 1500 of the family's 1533-position model. The record is from RNAcentral.
UAGUAAUCGCAGAUCAGCAUGCUGCGGUGAAUACGUUCCCGGGUCUUGUACACACCGCCCGUCACACCAUGGGAGCCGGGAAUGCCCGAAGUCAGCAGCCCAACCGAAAGGGGGAGCUGCCGAAGGCAGGCCUGGUGACUGGGGUGAAGUCGUAACAAGGUAAC